Molecule: transfer RNA, 73 nt
Filed under: Longispora fulva
Lineage: Bacteria; Bacillati; Actinomycetota; Actinomycetes; Micromonosporales; Micromonosporaceae
Rfam family: tRNA
About the family: Transfer RNA (tRNA) molecules are approximately 80 nucleotides in length. Their secondary structure includes four short double-helical elements and three loops (D, anti-codon, and T loops).
Source: Rfam by way of RNAcentral
GCCCCGGUGGCCCAAUCGGCAGAGGCGUCCCGCUCAAAACGGGAAUCUGCGGGUUCGACUCCCGCCCGGGGUA